Molecule: transfer RNA, 74 nt
Filed under: unidentified
Description: Enteromius sp. Kalwungwishi tRNA-Ile
Rfam family: tRNA
About the family: Transfer RNA (tRNA) molecules are approximately 80 nucleotides in length. Their secondary structure includes four short double-helical elements and three loops (D, anti-codon, and T loops).
Source: RNAcentral
AGGAACUGUGCCUGAAUGUUUAAGGACCACUUUGAUAGAGUGACUUAUGGGGGUUAAAAUCCCCCCAAUUCCUA